Molecule: long non-coding RNA, 3100 nt
Organism: Capsicum annuum
Lineage: Eukaryota; Viridiplantae; Streptophyta; Magnoliopsida; Solanales; Solanaceae
Exons: 2
Source: RefSeq, a predicted model, not a curated record
AAAGAAAACAAAAAAAAAACAGAGAGAGAGAAAAGGGAGAUGCCUUUACUAUAUUAACUACUAAACUGCUAAAGUAGGAGAUAUCUUAUCUAACGUAGUGGGAAAAGUCAUAGAUCCAGCCAUUUUGUGCAAGAAAUUGGGUAUUUGUUUUAGUACAACAGCAAGAUCUCUUGAUAAUGAAUCUGAUGUGGCCAGCAAUUCAGGUUGAAAGAGGUUGUUUCUAUGGUUGGUGUUCAAAUUUGAAGUUGUCUUACUUGCUGCGCAGCCAGAGAUCUAAGAGAAUUGCACUGGAUGUGCUUGAUGAACUUCCAAGGGAAGUGAAUGAGGAGUUUGAAUCAAGAAAAUUGAAGGAGGAAGAUGUCAUGGCAGAUCUGAGAGAUGAGAGUGCUACUAUUUGGUAUGGGUGGAGUUGGAAAAACAAUAUUUGUUGAUUUCGGAUAAAGGGUUGAAAAAAGAGAGGCCGUUCCGGAAGGAUGCCCUUAAACAAUUAGAAAGAUCGAAUCGAAGAAUAUCUUUCAAAGUGCUUAUUUGGUUUAGGAGCUGUUGAAUGCGUUGUUCCACCAGCUCCGGAAAAACAGCGUGCACCACAUCUUGAUAAUGAAUAUGAUGUGGCCAGCAAUUCAGGUUGAAAGAGGUUGUUUCUACGGUUGGUGUCCAAAUUUGAAGUUGCCUUACUUGCUGGGCAGCCGGAGAUCUUAAGAGAAUUGUACUGAAUGUGCUUGAUGAACUUUAAAGUGAAGUGGAUGAGGAGUUUGAAUCAAGAAAAUUGAAGGAGGAAGAGGUUAUGACAGAUCUGAGAGAUGAGAAUGCUACUAUUAUUGAGAUAUUUGGUAUGGAUGAAGUUGGAAAGACAAUACUUGUUGAGAAAACCAGAUAAAUGGUUAAAAAAGAGAGGUUGUUGUAGCAAAUGUCAGUCAACAACCAGAUUUAAAAAUUCAGGAUGAGAUCGGAUGAGGAUUUUGGUUGACAUUUGCUUAUUUGGUUUAGGAGCUUUUGAAUGCAUUGUUCCACUAGCUUUGGAAAAACAGCAGACACGUGUACUAAAAAAGCAUGCAGAGUUAGCUACCAUUGGUGCUUGUAUUUUUCAACAUUGAGAAUUUCUUGAUGAAUUUGAAGUUAGCUACCAUUGGCGCUUGUCUUUUUCAACAUCGAGUAUUUCUUGAUGAAUUUGAGAAAGACUUCCAAUGGCAUUUGGAUCCGUAUCUCCCUUUGCUUUGCCAAAUAGAAAAACGGCUUCUAUUUAUAGACGUUGAAAACCCUUUCUCUUUCUUAUUAUAUUAUCUGUAAUUCUAUCCUGAGCAAAAAGAUUUGAGGUGAUGAAGUCAGGUACCUAUUUUUGCUUUGUUCCUUGUUUGAGUGAGUUGGUAGUAUUUGACCUGAAAAUUUACUUAGUAGCUGAGUGGGGCUUAGUAUUUUUUCAAAUUAAAAAGUUAGACGAAGCAAGAAAGAGGAUGUGUCAUCAGUUAGAGUGUAACAUUGAAAGAUUGUUUCUUGUUAUCCGAGGGUUAUUUCAAAAUGUAUGAUAACGUCCAUGACAUGGAAAUGUCAAUUGUGUUCGAGGGCAAGUAUGUCUUUAUGGUAAAUCAGGACGUGAACCUAGAAGAGUUCCCAAGAAGAACUUCUUGUGAACAGUAGUCACAUUUCAGGUGUUGCAACACAAUUUGAUGAGCUUCCUAAACCAAUAUUUUGUCCAAGACAUGAGUAUCUAAUGUUGAAACUCUUGGAAGAUCCACUCAAAUUGCAGGAUGAUUGUUUUUUGUUUGAAUAAGUAAACUCAAUGUCUUAAGCAUGAGGGGUCCAAAUAGAGUAACUCCAUUAUGUCUUUUACAACAUUGGUUCGAUUGUUGUCAAAUGUGAGGAUACUAACUCUGAACAUUUAAGGUUUGGAUGACAUAUCCAUUAUCGGCGAACUAUCAAUUUAGAAACUCUCAACAUUAAAGAUUAUGUUAUAGAGGAGUUAGGAAAAUUGACCAAUCGAAUUAUAUUAGAGUUGAGCUGAGGGACGAUCUAAAAUAGUCUCUCUACCUUCACAACACAGGGUAAGAUUGCAUACACGCCACCCUCUCCAGACCCCAAUUAUGGAUACACUGGGUAUAUUGUUGUAAUUAUGUUAAGAGUUUUGGAAUGAGGAAGCAACACUUGAAUGGAUUUCACAAGGUGUCUUAUCAAAAGUAGUUUCACUAGAGGAACUACAUAUUGUGAAAGUAGCACAUUCAAAAGUUACUUUGCCUUUAGUGAGCUGAAAUCCUAAUCGUAAUUGAUUGAUAUUCAUGUAAAUUCACUUGUGAUAGUCUACAAUAUCUUGUGAUAGUCUACAAUAUCUAUUUUGCUUGUCUUUGGCAGGGAGUAGUUUGUCGAAUCUUGAAGACUUGACAGUAGCUUGCUCUGAUGAUGAAGAAGAUGAGAUGUUGGAAUACACAUAUCAAAGCAGAAGGGAAGAUGGUCCGAGUAAUCAAGUUCACCAAUUUAUACGAAUUGGAAAUUGAAUCUCUGAGAUACCUCACUCACUUUGCAAUGACGCUAUUGAGGGCGUUGAGUUCCCUCAGUUCAAAAAUUUUUGGUCUACAACUAGCGAUAGAAUGUUAAAAGGAUGAGAUAUGGUUCAUUUUUACUACUUGUAAUGGAAGAUAUAUUGAGUAAUGUAGGGCAUCAAACUUUUGAAGGUUAUUGUCCCAGUCUGAAACAGCUAAUUUUCGAUUGGCUACUUCAGCAAAAUUGAAAUAUUGGAAGUGAUCGAGUGUGGCGUACUGAGAAACGUGAUGUCUCCAUCAGUGGCAAGAUAUGUUUUGAAUCUCCAAGCAUUGCAGAUAGGAAACUGUCCAUUAAUGGAAGAAAUGAUCACAGAAGAGUAACUAGGAGAAGAAAUGACUAACGUGUCCUUAUUUCCCCAAUUGGAAGAGCUGGAGGUGAGCAAGCUACCAAAACCUAAUGUGUUUCUUUCUGAUGAAGCACUCUCUAGAAUUUCCAUUUCUUAGCUGUUUUGAAAUGAAGGCGUUUGUCCUAGGAUCUGUGAGUACACCGAAUUUGAAAUGGCUGAUUGUAGAAAAAAAGUCAAAGAUGCCGAGGCAAAAGAUGAUCUCAAUAAAUCAAUUUUAAGGUU